Molecule: ribosomal RNA, 425 nt
Filed under: uncultured bacterium
Lineage: Bacteria
Description: bacterial SSU rRNA
Rfam family: Bacterial small subunit ribosomal RNA
Source: RNAcentral
UCGAGAAUCUUCGGCAAUGGGCGCAAGCCUGACCGAGCGACGCCGCGUGCGGGAUGACGGCCUUCGGGUUGUAAACCGCUGUCAGUGGGGAGGAAAUGCGUGGGGGUUCUCCCCUGCGUUUGACCUAUCCGCAGAGGAAGGGUGGGCUAAGUCCGUGCCAGCAGCCGCGGUAAGACGGACCACCCGAACGUUAUUCGGAAUCACUGGGCUUAAAGGGUGCGUAGGCGGUGCGGUAAGUCGGGUGUGAAAUCCCCCAGCUCAACUGGGGAAUUGCGCCUGAAACUGCCGUGCUCGAGGGAGACAGAGGUGAGCGGAACUGAUGGUGGAGCGGUGAAAUGCGUUGAUAUCAUCAGGAACACCGGUGGCGAAAGCGGCUCACUGGGUCUCUUCUGACGCUCAGGCACGAAAGCUAGGGGAGCAAACGG